AUUGGGUUGACCAAAAAGUUCAUUUGGGUUUUUCCCUACUAUCUUAUGCAAAAACCCGAAAGAAAUUUUUGGCCAACCCAAU
Molecule: microRNA precursor, 82 nt
Filed under: Tursiops truncatus (common bottlenose dolphin)
Lineage: Eukaryota; Metazoa; Chordata; Mammalia; Artiodactyla; Delphinidae
Description: miRNA (ENSTTRG00000025254.1)
Source: RNAcentral